Long non-coding RNA from Diospyros lotus (date-plum), 927 nucleotides. RefSeq lists it as uncharacterized. The record is from RefSeq and is a predicted model, not a curated record. The transcript has 2 exons. NCBI's taxonomy places the organism in Eukaryota, Viridiplantae, Streptophyta, Magnoliopsida, Ericales, Ebenaceae.
UCUCUCUCUCUCUCUCUCUCUCUAUCUCUAUAUCUCUCUCUCUCGCUCUCACACACACACGCACAAAUUAUUGUCCAUUUAUAAUGAUUAAAUUAUUGUCCAUUUAAUAUGGUGACAUUGUAUCAUAAUUUUACUAAAAAGAUUUUUAGAGUAAAUUAAUCAAACAUCACUUUUAUUUUAUUUUAUUUUGGUCAUUUAAUUUAAACACUUUUUAAAAUUUAUUGAAUUAAUUCUUAAAAACUUUUUAAAAUUAGUCAUGACAUCUCUCAAGUUUAGUCCAAAAAAUGUAAAGAUUAAUUAAACAAAUUUUAAAAUUCAGAAAAUACCCAAGUUAAAAGACGAAAAUUGAAAGCUAUAAGGAUGAAUUUACCCAUUUUCUGUAGCUUAAAUCUUGUGCGGAGUGCCAUUUUGAUCGGUCUUAUUAUGUUAUUGAUGAUAUACUAUUAUUAUUAUAUUUGCGUGACGAUUUAUUUCAUGGAAAAGGAGAAAAGAGGCGGCUCCAGGCUCCACAAUACAGCUGUAAUCAGCAGUAAUGCAUCACCAUUGGCCUAAAUUUUCAAACCGUGUUCUUCUUUUAAACUUAGAAAAUUAUUACUAUUUUUAAUAAAUAGCAGCAGCCAGCAGGAGAAAAGCAACCAGAAUUAAAGAGAAAAAGGGUAAAAUCCCUGUCGGCGUAGGAUCAUGUGGGUGUGGCGAGUAGCAACAUUGGCAGCAGAAAUUUGGUUCACUCGUUUCUGUCGGUGGUGGAACCAAGCAAGCAAUGGCAUGAUGGCAGUGCCUGCCUGGUGACAGCAAAAUUACUGUCUCCAAUCCAAACACAAGAACCGAAACAUCAUCAAUCACUUCACUAAGUAGUAGAAUCAUUCAUCUUACUUCACACAUUGGUCAACACACUUACAAAUAUAUAUUACUAUUAAAUCAUUCUGA